CAACUUGAGAGUUUGAUCCUGGCUCAGAACGAACGCUGGCGGCAGGCCUAACACAUGCAAGUCGAGCGAACCCUUCGGGGUUAGCGGCGGACGGGUUAGUAACGCGUGGGAAUAUGCCCUUUUCUACGGAAUAGCCCAGGGAAACUUGGAGUAAUACCGUAUACGCCCUACGGGGGAAAGAUUUAUCGGAGAAGGAUUAGCCCGCGUUGGAUUAGGUAGUUGGUGGGGUAAUGGCCUACCAAGCCUACGAUCCAUAGCUGGUUUGAGAGGAUGAUCAGCAACACUGGGACUGAGACACGGCCCAGACUCCUACGGGAGGCAGCAGUGGGGAAUCUUAGACAAUGGGCGCAAGCCUGAUCUAGCCAUGCCGCGU
RNAcentral lists this ribosomal RNA (373 nucleotides) under Paracoccaceae bacterium. RNAcentral's name for it is "bacterial SSU rRNA". It matches the Rfam family "Bacterial small subunit ribosomal RNA", at positions 1 to 402 of the family's 1533-position model. The record is from RNAcentral. Lineage: Bacteria; Pseudomonadati; Pseudomonadota; Alphaproteobacteria; Rhodobacterales; Paracoccaceae.